Long non-coding RNA from Alligator sinensis (Chinese alligator), 437 nucleotides. RefSeq lists it as uncharacterized. Lineage: Eukaryota; Metazoa; Chordata; Crocodylia; Alligatoridae. The transcript has 3 exons. The record is from RefSeq and is a predicted model, not a curated record.
UCUGAGCAGCUCCUAUCCUAGCAACUUCACUGCCUUCCCUGGUUCCUGACCCUGCCUUCAGCUUGCUCCUGGAUUUCAGCCUUCAAAUUCUCAAUGAAAAUAUUUCAUGCCUCCUAAACCCAGCUUGACUUACUCUUGGACUUUGUCCUGUGGAUUAUCCUUUGGACUUGGGCCAACAUCUGGCUGUGGAGGAGAGGCCACAGGGGACUAAAGGACCACUGCCACAGGCUUGCUGCCACUCUGCACUGGAGCUGCCUCUGGGUGCCAGAUGCACCAGCAACACAGCUAGGAUGGGACCUGCCUGCUUCUGUGGUUGUUUGAAUUCUUCUCUUCUUGUUUCUUGUUGACAAUCUCACAACUCGGACAAACACAUAGUCCUGUAUCUAUCAAGAUUAAGAUCGGCAACAUAACAAGACUAGUUUCCAGCUAUCUGCCUC